This 253-nucleotide ribosomal RNA is filed under the name uncultured bacterium. RNAcentral describes it as "partial 16S ribosomal RNA". It matches the Rfam family "Bacterial small subunit ribosomal RNA", at positions 524 to 776 of the family's 1533-position model. The record is from RNAcentral.
UACGUAGGGUGCAAGCGUUAUUCGGAAUUACUGGGCGUAAAGCGUGCGCAGGCGGCUUUGCAAGACAGAUGUGAAAUCCCCGGGCUUAACCUGGGAACUGCAUUUGUGACUGCAUGGCUGGAGUGCGGCAGAGGGGAAUGGAAUUCCGCGUGUAGCAGUGAAAUGCGUAGAUAUGCGGAGGAACACCGAUGGCGAAGGCAAUCCCCUGGGCCUGCACUGACGCUCAUGCACGAAAGCGUGGGGAGCAAACAGG